GUAGGUGAACCUGCGGAAGGAUCAUUAACACGUAUCCAACGUAUACACCCCUGUGGUCCUGUGCGCGUCUAUACACGAAGUGAUAGAAACUACUUUUCAACCUGCGAGGUUGCAAAUGAAGGUUUCGUAAAGCACCUUGGUAUCCUGCGUGGCUACCGGUGUUGUAUGACAUCAUGUGACUAUCAGCACUCUUCGGAGCGCAGCUUCGUGUAGCAGACGUUUUAACCAACCAUUUAACCCAAACUGCUCUAAUCUAGAAAUAAGUAUGGUGUGCCCUGCUUUAUUUCGACUUACGAAAUGUUACAACUCUUAACAACGGAUAUCUUGGUUCUC
This 333-nucleotide unclassified non-coding RNA is filed under the name rhizosphere metagenome. RNAcentral's name for it is "partial ribosomal RNA internal transcribed spacer region". The record is from RNAcentral.